This 253-nucleotide ribosomal RNA is filed under the name uncultured bacterium. RNAcentral's name for it is "partial 16S ribosomal RNA". It matches the Rfam family "Bacterial small subunit ribosomal RNA", at positions 524 to 776 of the family's 1533-position model. The record is from RNAcentral.
UACGAAGGUGGCAAGCGUUGUUCGGAUUCACUGGGCGUAAAGGGUGCGUAGGCGGGUCUUUAAGUCAGAGGUGAAAUCCUGGAGCUCAACUCCAGAACUGCCUUUGAUACUGAGGAUCUUGAGUUCGGGAGAGGUGAGUGGAACUGCGAGUGUAGAGGUGAAAUUCGUAGAUAUUAGGAAGAACACCAGUGGCGAAGGCGGCUCACUGGUCCGGUACUGACGCUGAGGUGCGAAAGCGUGGGGAGCAAACAGG